GGCUAGUUCCAGUGCAGUUGUGUUUAUAACUAAUUGAUCAUAACCAGUUACAGAUUCCUUUGUUUCUUCUCCACUCCCACUGCUUCAAUUAAUAGCCUAAG
RNAcentral lists this Y RNA (101 nucleotides) under Microcebus murinus (gray mouse lemur). RNAcentral's name for it is "Y RNA (ENSMICG00000041468.1)". It matches the Rfam family "Y RNA". Rfam says of the family: Y RNAs are components of the Ro ribonucleoprotein particle (Ro RNP), in association with Ro60 and La proteins. The record is from Rfam by way of RNAcentral. Lineage: Eukaryota; Metazoa; Chordata; Mammalia; Primates; Cheirogaleidae.